AGUGAGCGCUGGCGGUAGGCCUAACACAUGCAAGUCGAACGGCAGCACAGUAAGAGCUUGCUCUUACGGGUGGCGAGUGGCGGACGGGUGAGGAAUACAUCGGAAUCUACUUUUUCGUGGGGGAUAACGUAGGGAAACUUACGCUAAUACCGCAUACGACCUACGGGUGAAAGCAGGGGAUCUUCGGACCUUGCGCGAUUGAAUGAGCCGAUGUCGGAUUAGCUAGUUGGCGGGGUAAAGGCCCACCAAGGCGACGAUACGUAGCUGGUCUGAGAGGAUGAUCAGCCACACUGGAACGGAGACACGGUCCAGACUCCUACGGGAGGCAGCAGUGGGGAAUAUUGGACAAUGGGCGCAAGCCUGAUCCAGCCAUACCGCGUGGGUGAAGAAGGCCUUCGGGUUGUAAAGCCCUUUUGUUGGGAAAGAAAAGCAGCAGGUUAAUACCCCGCUGUUCUGACGGUACCCAAAGAAUAAGCACCGGCUAACUUCGUG
RNAcentral lists this ribosomal RNA (492 nucleotides) under uncultured bacterium. Its description in RNAcentral is "partial 16S ribosomal RNA". It matches the Rfam family "Bacterial small subunit ribosomal RNA", at positions 29 to 507 of the family's 1533-position model. The record is from RNAcentral.